Anopheles funestus (African malaria mosquito) is the source of this 3335-nucleotide long non-coding RNA. RefSeq lists it as uncharacterized. The record is from RefSeq and is a predicted model, not a curated record. The transcript has 5 exons. Lineage: Eukaryota; Metazoa; Arthropoda; Insecta; Diptera; Culicidae.
CCAUCCACCAACUCUCAUUUGAAAUAUUUUAACCGUCCGCGACGAUGCAAGUACGCAUAAAAGGUUUAUAUGCCUACAUUUUGCAUGUCAUAAACGUAAGAACGGAUUUGAUCGAUAGGAAUGUUUUUUUACGAAGCCUUUUUCAUUGGCCGCUUUAGGAGGAGCGAUGUGUGUGUGAAAGAAUAAGAUGCGAAAGAUGAAAUCGAGCGUCCGCUUCGGCAAUUACAGUUGUGUAGGUGUGUCGGGAUAACGAAGCAGGAGAGAUAAUGAUCAUGAGAUAAGUACAAAUUGUGAUCAGUAGUGAUCGAGCAGCGGUACGAUUGAGUUACGAAAAAAAAGCUUUCGCUAAAGCGGCGUUCUUCCUUUGUAGCUAGAAAGUUUAACAAGAUUUGUGUUUUAUUGCCAAAAAGUGAUGAAGAGGAUGUUAUUAAAUAUAAAAAAAUGUUUAGUACAUCAAGUCGUGUAGUAAUGUGAUGCUGAUCAGUAAAGAUUCACACGUGCAAACUUGUACAAAUUGUUGCCAGCGUUGGCUUGGGUUUGUUUCAGCGUAUGCGUGACACUUGAUCAUUGCGAUCGGGUGUGAUGAUUUCAAUAUACAAAAGCGUAAAGUGUGUAAGUGAAAGAAGAAAACCACUGGCUCACAAAUCACAAGCAAAAUUCGUCGCUCGUUGUAAGGAAAGGACUCUACAAAGCUUGAAAAAAAAACGAAUAAGCUUAGUUGGAAUAAUGCUGUGUGUAGAUGUACUGAGGUGGUUUGUCUCCAUAACUCUUUUGACAUUUCACAAGUCAUCCAACCUAACGGUAUCGUGUUGAUCGUGUUUAAGCGAUAACAAGAUUUUCCUCAUCUCACGCUUACACGAGCAGCUAAUGUACGAUCUUACGCUCUUACUCCAACGUUAAAGUUACCAUUGUGUGGAGAGUAAGGACAUAUACGAUCAGUGCGUGUACUAUGCGCGUACUAAAUUUGCAAAUUAUUUGCAUUUGUGUUGUGCAGUGUAUUUUGCCAAACGAGUUUUAUCAUAAAACCAUGGCAUUGGCGUAUUGUGUGUGUUUGUAUUAUAACCUCCGUGCUAGCUUCGGUUCAUUAUUAAAAUUUGGAUGUUGUUACAGUGCUGUACAUGUUUGUGAAAAGCGGCUUCCUUCCUUUGUGCACAGAAAAAAAAAUGUUCCGUGAAAAAAGUGUUGUUUUUUUUGGUGAAAAAAAGUGAAAAAUGUGAGUUUCAAUGAUUAAUUGAAACGUUAAUUAGUGUAUCGUAAAAUGUGGCCAUUUUAGGCAAAUGUUGUGUUUUAAAUGUCUCAAAGCGCGUUUAAGUGUGCAUUUAAAAAUUCAAGGUAGUUUUUUGGUGCAAAAAAAUUGUGUCUAUUAAUCAUUGCGUAAAAUACGUGAAUUAGUGUAUUGCUUAUUGCGUGAAUUAGUGUAUUAAAAAAUGUGGCCAUUGCAGGCGUGUGUCAGUGUUUUAAGUGUGCCUAAGUGUAUUGAAGUUUGUAUGUGCAUUUGUGCACAGAAAAUAAAAAUGCAAGUGUUGGUAGUUUUGUGUUAAUUAGUGUAUUAAAAAUGUGGCUAUUAUAGGCAUGUGUGGUGCUAUAAAUGUGCUAUAAAAUUGAAGUCUGCAUGUGUCGUUGUGCAUCGAAAAAAUAAAAUGCAAGUGUUGGUAGUUUUUUUUGGGAAAAAAAGUUGUGUAUAUAAAUAAUUGCGUAAUUUGCGUGAAUUAGUGUAUAGUAAAAUGUGGUCAUUAUAGGCAAGUGCGAGUGUUUUAAAUGUGCCUAAGUGCAUUGAAAUGUGUAUUUGCAUUUGUGCACAGAAAAAAUGAAAGGCAAGUGUUGAUUGUGUUUAGUGAAAAAAAUAGUUAAAAAAAUGAGAUUUCAAUUAAUAAAUUAGUGUGUUACAAAUGAGGCCUUUUUAGGCGAGUGCAUUGAAGUGUGUAUGUGAAAUAAAAAAGAAAAUGCCAGUGUAUUAAAUUAAAGGAUUUGCCAAGAAGCUGUUUUGUCUUCCAAAGUAAUGCGUUCCUGCGUAUAAAUUGUCUAUUAAUCGGCGGAACGCCGUUCAUCCGUAAUCAAUAGGAAUCGACCGAGUGAUCGAUCAACACGAAUAAUAAUUAAUCCUGCUCUUGCUGAUACGCAUUAGUGUACAAUCUAAGGCAAUCCAAAAAGGGCAAUCAAAAAGCUUCCUUCCUUGAGGAUCUGCUUUUCGAAAGUAUGUCCUUCCCAGCGCGAUUCGGUUAGCGGUCAGUAUGAAGGUGAUGCAAUCCUCACAACAUCCUCAUUCCCAUCCAUUCCCAUCUUCAGGACUUUUGCAGUGUACAGUACAUUCCAUUUUGCGGGACUUUAUACAUCGCCCCGGGACGUUAUAUUUGCAACUCGGUAGAGUCCGAUUGACCGGAAACAGAGUUCCCCAUGACAUAGCGAGAAUAUGUUGCCACCGAACACGCAAGGAAUAAGCAUAAUUUAACGUUAGUUUCGAGCCUAUAAAUUACACCACAAUGCUAGCGUUCGGGUUCGACUGUCCGUAUUUGUUGGAACAUCUUUUCCGGUUCCUCUUAUUUAGCAACCGCCACAUUUUUUAACUCGAGAUGCAUGAUAAUUUAUGCAAAAAAAAAAAAGAUUUCAGCAAAUUAUUCUCUACCUUCGAACGCGAAAUCCUUUCCUUGCAAAUGACGUUCGUAGCAUUUCCUUUUAGGGCCCGACAGCUGACAUUGUUUUUCGAGCAUCCGUUAAGUAUUGAAGCGCUCUUCUACUGUCCGUGGUGGGUACUAUGAUUGUUACCGUAACCCACGAAUGUUGUCCGAUUUGUUGGGCCCUUAUUUAUGGGUCGCUAAAUCAUGGUAACAUCAAAAACAGAACUGCAACCAACAUCGCCCGGUUGUUGGUGAAUGGUAUAGAAUUGCAAUCGUGGCUCGUCGGCGAUACACAGUCACAGGCUAAGAAGCAAGAAUGUAGCUAAUUCCCACUCGAUUUAGGUCGCAUGUGUGGGAAAUGUGCAAUUCACUUGAAGCCUCUGGAUACAGUUAUGUACUAAAUUUUGGAUGCUUUUAUUGUUGAACUUUCUUGGACUACACGUUGAGGAAAAAUGGGAAAAAAUGUAUUUUGUAAAUGGGCCAAAUCUCAUCUGGGGCAAGCCCCCAUAGCAAGGGCUGACAAUCUGGCUACCACGUAAAAUAAGUUGUUAAGCCAAAAAGAGACAUAGAGAGAGAGAAUUUCGUGAAAAACAAACCGAGUAUGCCCGGGAUAAGGCAAAGUGCAAGGAGAAAAUACCUUGUCAAAAUUUUACAUACUUCGGCCUUUAGAGGCUGAUAAUACGGCAAAAUGCCGUAAUCAUUAAAUAUAAAUAAAAAAAU